GAGGAACUCCGAAGGCACUUGCCACAUGAUACAAGAGUCUGCUGGUGAAAGAGAGAGGACCGGAAAGCCACAAACCUACAGCCCCGACUGCAUCCAGAGAGGGAACCUGCAAACAAACUUCACAGCAAACUUUUUGUUCUUGUUCCAGAGAAUUGACUGAAGAGGAGACAGGAAACAAACAAACAAAAACAAACAAACAAACCAACCAAAACACACACACACACACCAAAACCCCAAAAAGGAAAGAGAGAGAGAAAAAAAAAAAAGCAAAAAAAAAAAAAAAAAAAAAAAAAAAAGCCCCGUGCGUGAGGGGGGAGGAAGAGCGGAGCCUUUUAAAAGGGCCGUCA
RNAcentral lists this long non-coding RNA (347 nucleotides) under Sus scrofa (pig). RNAcentral describes it as "lncRNA (ENSSSCG00030034839.1)". The record is from RNAcentral. Lineage: Eukaryota; Metazoa; Chordata; Mammalia; Artiodactyla; Suidae.